GAGAGGAAGUGCGCCCAACGCCAUAGGGAGGUCAAGAGAGUCAAGGAUAGAAACAAAUGUGUCCAUUAGAUUAGCAACCAAGAAGGACUUAGAGCGCUCAGCGCAAGGAAUUUCUGUGAAGUGGGAGAGACAGACUGCAGAUGUUGGGAUUGUGCAAAAAGAAGAUAUUUGUCUGGAGUUUAUACUUAAAAAUAACUGUUGUUAAGCCAAAGAAUGUGGGGGUACUUCUUCUACACAGAUCCUCCUUCUGAAGAUGUUGGUCUUCUUCCUUGCCUGCCACCCCCUCCCACACUUGAUUCAAAUGGAAGGUUGACUUUCUUGGAUGGCAAGGAUUAUGUUCACUCUCCCCUUCUGGAACUGUUCUCUGUGGAUAUGUCCCGUGAUUGUCAGAUCAACAUUCUGAGCUUGUGCUUAGAAACCAUCUUUGGAGGGUGUCAAUGCAUC
This 444-nucleotide long non-coding RNA is filed under the name Equus asinus (donkey). RNAcentral describes it as "lncRNA (ENSEASG00005030769.1)". Lineage: Eukaryota; Metazoa; Chordata; Mammalia; Perissodactyla; Equidae. The record is from RNAcentral.